CGUAACAAGGUUUCCGUAGGUGAACCUGCGGAAGGAUCAUUACCUAGAGUUUGUGGACUUCGGUCUGCUACCUCUUACCCAUGUCUUUUGAGUACCUUCGUUUCCUCGGCGGGUCCGCCCGCCGGUUGGACAACAUUCAAACCCUUUGCAGUUGCAAUCAGCGUCUGAAAAAACUUAAUAGUUACAACUUUCAACAACGGAUCUCUUGGUUCUGGCAUCGAUGAAGAACGCAGCGAAAUGCGAUAAGUAGUGUGAAUUGCAGAAUUCAGUGAAUCAUCGAAUCUUUGAACGCACAUUGCGCCCCUUGGUAUUCCAUGGGGCAUGCCUGUUCGAGCGUCAUUUGUACCUUCAAGCUCUGCUUGGUGUUGGGUGUUUUGUCUCGCCUCCGCGCGCAGACUCGCCUUAAAACAAUUGGCAGCCGGCGUAUUGAUUUCGGAGCGCAGUACAUCUCGUGCUUUGCACUCAUAACGACGACGUCCAAAAGUACAUUUUUACACUCUUGACCUCGGAUCAGGUAGGGAUACCCGCUGAACUUAAGCAUAUCA
Molecule: ribosomal RNA, 545 nt
Filed under: uncultured fungus
Lineage: Eukaryota; Fungi
Description: eukaryotic LSU rRNA
Rfam family: 5.8S ribosomal RNA (bases 186-339)
Source: RNAcentral